ACUCUGGGAACUGUAGUCCUAUCAACGACUUCGCUUUUGUUGCGUGUUUUUUCGCGGGCUCGUGCGUGUGGUGCCUGGCCAUUACACUAGACAUCAUGAACUGAUCAAGCUGGAGGUGGGCGGAGGCCAAAUACAUUUACUGGAGUGAAACUGGGCGACACGGUGGCUCAGUGGUUUGCACUGUGGCCUCACAGCACUCAGGUCACUUGUUCGAGUCUCGGCUGGGUCAGUUGGUGUUUCUGUGUGGAGUUUGCAUGUUCUCCCCGUGUUAGUGUGGGUUUUCUCUGGGUGUGAGAUCAACAAUGAUUAGAAAAUGCAUAAUUAAUACAUCAAGUGAGCAAUAAACUGGCCACAUGAGCACACAACAUGUGUAAAGCACAUUUCUCUGGGCUGUUUCUCCAUCUCACCAGACACUGGUCAGGACCCCUGUGUGGAGCCGUGAGGACAGCAGCAGCUGCUGGACUGAGUGUAUGUGGAGAGUCUGCAGAAUCACGACACCACCAGUCUGAAACUCUGUCAGAUCAUACUGUGGCCUGUGGAAACCUGCGCUCAUCACCUGAGUGUGUCAGUGUGUGCAGGUAUAGAAAUGACCUGCUCUCUUCAGUUGUUUGAUUGUUUUGACUGUGUGUUCAUAAUAAAGGUAAAAAUAAGUCAUGACG
This is a non-coding RNA of Danio rerio (zebrafish), 659 nucleotides long. The record is from RefSeq and is a predicted model, not a curated record. Lineage: Eukaryota; Metazoa; Chordata; Actinopteri; Cypriniformes; Danionidae.